CGGAUCGCGUUGGCCUGGUGGGCGCCUGUGUGUUCAGCCUUCGGGUGCAUUGGCACAGGUGCUUAUCCGCUGUGGGUUUUCGGGGGUCGAUUUUGGAUCCCUGGAGGCUGAGGGCUCCCUUCGGGUGAGGACAGCGGAGUGACGACGCGAUACGACCCGUCUUGAAACACGGACCAAGGAGUCUAGCGCGGGUGCGAGUCGGAGGGUGCAAGCCCGUGGGCGAAGUGAAAGCGAGUGUAAAAACGAGCAGUUUGGGGCGGCAUAAGAUCGUUGAUCUCAAGACCGACCCAGAGCAGUUGCGCUGGGACCCGAAAGAUGGUGAACUAUGCCGGAGUAGGGCAAAGCCAGAGGAAACUCUGGUGGAGGCUCGUAGCGGUGCUGACGUGCAAAUCGCUCGUCCAACUUGGGUAUAGGGGCGAAAGACUAAUCGAACCAUCUAGUAGCUGGUUCCCUCCGAAGUUUCUCUCAGGAUAGCGGGCCGACAAGUUGUUUUGUGCGGUAAAGCGAAUGAUUAGCGCACGUGGGGCCAUUUCGGCUUCAGGCGAUUCUCAAACUUUAAAUGCGCAAGGGUGUCGCUGCUUAAUUGAGCGGCACCGCUAAAAACGUCGGCCCUGUGGGCCACUUUUGGUAAGCAGAACUGGCGAUACGGGAUGAACCGUAAGCAUGGUUAAGGCGCCAAACUGCCCGCUUAU
Molecule: ribosomal RNA, 692 nt
Filed under: Furcellaria lumbricalis
Lineage: Eukaryota; Rhodophyta; Florideophyceae; Gigartinales; Furcellariaceae
Description: eukaryotic LSU rRNA
Rfam family: Eukaryotic large subunit ribosomal RNA
Source: RNAcentral